CCUACGGGGGGCAGCAGUGGGGAAUAUUGCGCAAUGGGCGAAAGCCUGACGCAGCGACGCCGCGUGAGGGAUGAAGGUCUUCGGAUCGUAAACCUCUGUCAGCAGGGAAGAACGGUCACUGUGCUAAUCAGCAGUGAAUUGACGGUACCUGCAAGGGAAGCACCGGCUAACUCCGUGCCAGCAGCCGCGGUAAUACGUAGGGGGCAAGCGUUAUCCGGAUUUACUGGGUGUAAAGGGAGCGUAGACGGUUAUGUAAGUCUGGAGUGAAAGCCCGGGGCCCAACCCCGGGACUGCUUUGGAAACUGUGUAGCUGGAGUACAGGAGGGGCAGGCGGAAUUCCUGGUGUAGCGGUGAAAUGCGUAGAUAUCAGGAGGAACACCGGCGGCGAAGGCGGCCUGCUGGACUGAAACUGACGUUGAGGCUCGAAAGCGUGGGGAGCAAACAGGAUUAGAUACCCUAGUAGUC
RNAcentral lists this ribosomal RNA (465 nucleotides) under uncultured bacterium. RNAcentral's name for it is "partial 16S ribosomal RNA". It matches the Rfam family "Bacterial small subunit ribosomal RNA", at positions 338 to 795 of the family's 1533-position model. The record is from RNAcentral.